GAUGAACGCCGGCGGCGUGCUUAACACAUGCAAGUCGAACGCUGAAGUGCAGCUUUUGCUGGGCGGAUGAGUGCCGAACGGGUGAGUAACACGCGAGUAACCUGCCUCUUUCUUUGGGAUAUCGCCCGGAAAAGCGUGCUAAUAUUGGAUAUUCUCUGGUCAUCGCAUGGGGGUUGGUGGAAAGGGCGUUUCUGGUGUGGGUUGGGCUCGCGGCCUAUCAGCUUGUUGGUGGGGUGAUGGCCUAACAAGGCUUUGACGGGUAGGCGGCCUGAGAGGGAGACCGGUCACAGAGGGACGGAGAUACGGCCUAGGCUACGACGGGGGGGAGCAGUGGGGAAUAUGGCACAAUGCGCGACAGAGUAAUGCAGCGACAGCGCGGGAGGGAUGGGGACCUUCAGGUUGUGAACCUCGUUCGCACAUGGUGAAACCGCAACAAUGGUUGUGGUGAGGGUAGUGGGUAAAGAAGCGCCGGCUAACUACGUG
This 483-nucleotide ribosomal RNA is filed under the name uncultured bacterium. RNAcentral describes it as "partial 16S ribosomal RNA". It matches the Rfam family "Bacterial small subunit ribosomal RNA", at positions 28 to 507 of the family's 1533-position model. The record is from RNAcentral.